Molecule: long non-coding RNA, 483 nt
Organism: Centruroides sculpturatus (bark scorpion)
Lineage: Eukaryota; Metazoa; Arthropoda; Arachnida; Scorpiones; Buthidae
Exons: 3
Source: RefSeq, a predicted model, not a curated record
UAUUAAUCAAGAAUUUAAGUUCAUAUUGAAGAAAUAUUGCUGUUUAUGCAACCAUAUUUUUAUUUAAUUUAACAUUCGUAACGUUAGCAUUAUGUUACGAUAACUUAAUAUUUGAAAUUUGAUUAUUCGUCAUUGAAAUAUAUAUUGCGAAAGAAAACUGAAUAGUGGAUCGAUCCAAAUGGAAAAAUAUCCUGAUUGGUGUCACUUCUAGAGUCUAAAAAAAGUUAUUGUUUGCGCCGAUCCGCGGAACAUUCCAGCUCAACGAGGUGUGUUAUACCCUUUUCGUCGAGAGCCACAUCGGGAAGGAAUUUCUGAUCUUUAUAAGAAGCAUCCACGCAGAAGAACAAACAAACGUCGACGGAGAAUAAUUUGUUAAUUAAAAAUUACAAGCAAUGUUAACAUUUGUUCAUUAUCCCCACUACGAAUACGAGGAAUUUAUCAAUAUCUUUUCGUAUCGCGUUUCGUUCGAAGGCGAUAUUGUUU